Molecule: ribosomal RNA, 329 nt
Filed under: uncultured Oscillospira sp.
Lineage: Bacteria; Bacillati; Bacillota; Clostridia; Eubacteriales; Oscillospiraceae
Description: bacterial SSU rRNA
Rfam family: Bacterial small subunit ribosomal RNA
Source: RNAcentral
GACGAACGCUGGCGGCGUGCUUAACACAUGCAAGUCGAACGGAGUGCCCUUGAAAGAGGUUUCGGCCAAUGGAAGGGGUUACUUAGUGGCGGACUGGUGAGUAACGCGUGAGGAACCUGCCUUUCAGAGGGGGACAACAGCUGGAAACGGCUGCUAAUACCGCAUGACACAUUUAAGCGGCAUCGCUUGGAUGUCAAAGAUUUAUCGCUGGAAGAUGGCCUCGCGUCUGAUUAGAUAGUUGGUGGGGUAACGGCCUACCAAGUCGACGAUCAGUAGCCGGACUGAGAGGUUGAACGGCCACAUUGGGACUGAGACACGGCCCAGACUCC